CGGCAGGCCUAACACAUGCAAGUCGAGCGGUAGAGAGAAGCUUGCUUCUCUUGAGAGCGGCGGACGGGUGAGUAAUGCCUAGGAAUCUGCCUGGUAGUGGGGGAUAACGUUCGGAAACGGACGCUAAUACCGCAUACGUCCUACGGGAGAAAGCAGGGGACCUUCGGGCCUUGCGCUAUCAGAUGAGCCUAGGGUCGGAUUAGCUAGUUGGGUGGGGGUAAUGGCUCACCAAGGCGACGAUCCCGUAACUGGUCUGAGAGGAUGAUCAGUCACACUGGAGCUGAGACACGGUCCAGACUCCUACGGGAGGCAGCAGUGGGGAAUAUUGGGACAAUGGGCGAAAGCCUGAUCCCAGCCCAUGCCGCGUGUGUGAAGAAGGUCUUCGGAUUGUAAAGCACUUUAAGUUGGGAGGAAGGGUUGUAGAUUAAUACUCUGCAAUUUUGACGUUACCGACAGAAUAAGCACCGGCUAACUCUGUGCCCAGCAGCCGCGGGUAAAUA
This 500-nucleotide ribosomal RNA is filed under the name uncultured Pseudomonas sp. Its description in RNAcentral is "bacterial SSU rRNA". It matches the Rfam family "Bacterial small subunit ribosomal RNA", at positions 40 to 527 of the family's 1533-position model. The record is from RNAcentral. Lineage: Bacteria; Pseudomonadati; Pseudomonadota; Gammaproteobacteria; Pseudomonadales; Pseudomonadaceae.